CAGCCGUAAACUAUGCUCGCUAGGUGUCAGGGACGGUGCGACCGUUUCUGGUGCCGCAGGGAAGCCGUGAAGCGAGCCACCUGGGAAGUACGGUCGCAAGGCUGAAACUUAAAGGAAUUGGCGGGGGAGCACUACAACGGGUGGAGCCUGCGGUUUAAUUGGAUUCAACGCCGGAAAUCUUACCGGGACCGACAGCAACAUGAAGGCCAAGCUGAAGACUUUGCCGGAUUAGCUGAGAGGUGGUGCAUGGCGUAGUCGUGU
RNAcentral lists this ribosomal RNA (261 nucleotides) under uncultured archaeon. Its description in RNAcentral is "partial 16S ribosomal RNA". It matches the Rfam family "Archaeal small subunit ribosomal RNA", at positions 748 to 1009 of the family's 1478-position model. The record is from RNAcentral.